UCCGGUUGAUCCUGCCGGACCUGACUGCUAUCGGAUUGGUACUAAGCCAUGCGAGUCAUUGUAGCAAUACAAGGCGGACGGCUCAGUAACACGUAGUCAACCUAACUCGUGGACGUGGAUAACCUCGGGAAACUGAGAAUAAACCACGAUAGAUCAUAAUGCCUGGAAUGGCUUAUGGUCCAAACAGUUUACUGCCAUGGGAUGGGACUGCGGCCUAUCAGCUUGUUGGUGAGGUAAUGGCCCACCAAGGCGAUUACAGGUACGGGCUCUGAGAGGAGAAGCCCGGAGAUGGGUACUGAGACACGGACCCAGGCCCUAUGGGGCGCAGCAGGCGAGAAACCUUAGCAAUGUGCGAAAGCACGACUGGGUCAGUCCGAGUGAUUCCUGAUAAAGGAGUCUUUUGCUUGUCCUAAAAGCACAGGUGAAUAAGGGGUGGGCAAGUCUGGUGUCAGCCGCCGCGGUAAUACCAGCACCUCGAGUGGUCAGGACGUUUAUUGGGCCUAAAGCAUCCGUAGCCGGCUUUGCAAGUCUUCGGUUAAAUCCACCUGCUCAACAGAUGGGCUGCUGGAGAUACUACAGAGCUAGGGAGUGGGAGAGGCAGACGGUAUUCAGUGGGUAGGGGUAAAAUCCUCUGAUCCAUUGAGGACCACCAGUGGCGAAGGCGGUCUGCCAGAACACGUUCGACGGUGAGGGAUGAAGGCUGGGGGAGCAAACCGGAUUAGAUACCCGGGUAGUCCCAGCUGUAAACGAUGCAAACUCGGUGAUGCAUUGGCUUAUGGCCAAUGCAGUGCCGCAGGGAAGCCGUUAAGUUUGCCGCCUGGGAAGUACGGACGCAAGUCUGAAACUUAAAGGAAUUGGCGGGGGAGCACCACAAGGGGUGAAGCCUGCGGUUCAAUUGGAGUCAACGCCAGGAAUCUUACCCGGGGAGACAGCAGAAUGAAGGUCAAGCUGAAGACUUUACCAGACAAGCUGAGAGGAGGUGCAUGGCC
Molecule: ribosomal RNA, 989 nt
Filed under: uncultured archaeon
Lineage: Archaea
Description: bacterial SSU rRNA
Rfam family: Archaeal small subunit ribosomal RNA
Source: RNAcentral